AGUGAACGCUGGCGGUAGGCCUAACACAUGCAAGUCGAACGGCAGCACAGUAAGAGCUUGCUCUUACGGGUGGCGAGUGGCGGACGGGUGAGGAAUACAUCGGAAUCUACUUUUUCGUGGGGGAUAACGUAGGGAAACUUACGCUAAUACCGCAUACGACCUACGGGUGAAAGCAGGGGAUCUUCGGACCUUGCGCGAUUGAAUGAGCCGAUGUCGGAUUAGCUAGUUGGCGGGGUAAAGGCCCACCAAGGCGACGAUCCGUAGCUGGUCUGAGAGGAUGAUCAGCCACACUGGAACUGAGACACGGUCCAGCCUCCUACGGGAGGCAGCAGUGGGGAAUAUUGGACAAUGGGCGCAAGCCUGAUCCAGCCAUACCGCGUGGGUGAAGAAGGCCUUCGGGUGGUAAAGCCCUUUUGUUGGGAAAAAAAAGCAGCAGGUUAAUACCCCGCUGUUCUGACGGUACCCAAAGAAUAAGCACCGGCUAACUUCGU
This 491-nucleotide ribosomal RNA is filed under the name uncultured bacterium. Its description in RNAcentral is "partial 16S ribosomal RNA". It matches the Rfam family "Bacterial small subunit ribosomal RNA", at positions 29 to 506 of the family's 1533-position model. The record is from RNAcentral.